RNAcentral lists this ribosomal RNA (253 nucleotides) under uncultured bacterium. Its description in RNAcentral is "partial 16S ribosomal RNA". It matches the Rfam family "Bacterial small subunit ribosomal RNA", at positions 524 to 776 of the family's 1533-position model. The record is from RNAcentral.
UACGGGGGGGGCAAGCGUUGUUCGGAAUUACUGGGCGUAAAGGGCUCGUAGGCGGCCAACUAAGUCGGACGUGAAAUCCCCAGGCCCAACCUGGGAACUGCGUCUGAUACUGGAUGGCUUGAAUCCGGGAGAGGGAUGCAGAAUUCCAGGUGUAGCGGUGAAAUGCGUAGAUAUCUGGAGGAACACCGAUAGUGAAGACAGCUAACUAAGCUCUAACUGACGCUGAGGCACGAAAGUGUGGGGAUCAAACAGG